GUCUAUGACUCGACUCUUGCACAUUACGUCUUAGGUUUGCGCCAAUUCGUGGUAAGCUUGGGUCAUAGAGACUCAUAGGUGUUAUAAAGACUCGCUGGUGUUUGUCUCCUUGAGGCAUACGGCUUUAACCAAAACUCUCAAAGUUUGACCUCAAAUCAGGUAGGAGUACCCGCUGAACUUAAGCAUAUCAAUAAGCGGAGGAAAAGAAACCAACCGGGAUUGCCUUAGUAACGGCGAGUGAAGCGGCAAAAGCUCAAAUUUGAAAUCUGGCGUCUUCGACGUCCGAGUUGUAAUUUGAAGAAGGCGACUUUGUAGCUGGUCCUUGUCUAUGUUCCUUGGAACAGGACGUCAUAGAGGGUGAGAAUCCCGUGUGGCGAGGAUCCCAGUUAUUUGUAAAGUGCUUUCGACGAGUCGAGUUGUUUGGGAAUGCAGCUCUAAGUGGGUGGUAAAUUCCAUCUAAAGCUAAAUAUUGGCGAGAGACCGAUAGCGAACAAGUACAGUGAUGGAAAGAUGAAAAGAACUUUGAAAAGAGAGUGAAAAAGUACGUGAAAUUGUUGAAAGGGAAGGGCAUUUGAUCAGACAUGGCGUUUGCUUCGGCUUUCGCUGGGCCAGCAUCAGUUUUAGCGGUUGGAUAAAUCCUCGGGAAUGUGGCUCUGCUUCGGUAGAGUGUUAUAGCCCGUGGGAAUACAGCCAGCUGGGACUGAGGAUUGCGACUUUUGUCAAGGAUGCUGGCGUAAUGGUUAAAUGCCGCCCGUCUUGAAACACGGACCAAGGAGUCUAACGUCUAUGCGAGUGUUUGGGUGUAAAACCCGUACGCGUAAUGAAAGUGAACGUAGGUGAGGGCCCGCAAGGGUGCAUCAUCGACCGAUCCUGAUGUCUUCGGAUG
Molecule: ribosomal RNA, 886 nt
Filed under: Kluyveromyces marxianus
Lineage: Eukaryota; Fungi; Ascomycota; Saccharomycetes; Saccharomycetales; Saccharomycetaceae
Description: LSU rRNA
Rfam family: Eukaryotic large subunit ribosomal RNA (bases 146-886)
Source: RNAcentral